Molecule: small nucleolar RNA, 145 nt
Filed under: Mustela putorius furo (domestic ferret)
Lineage: Eukaryota; Metazoa; Chordata; Mammalia; Carnivora; Mustelidae
Source: RNAcentral
UAGGGAUAAAAAUGAUUUUGGUUUUUGGCCAGCAAAUGAACUCACAAGUAUAGGUAAUAUGCUCCAUGAAGGACAGGUUUUUCAAUAUCACUACAGUGGUCUCUGGCCAACUGAGUGGAGUUUAAUAGUAAUUCUUGCCACGAGU